CGCAGCAGGCGCGAAAACUCUACAAUGCAGGCAACUGCGAUAGGGGAACAUCGAGUGAUACUCAUUUUGGGUGUCUGUCCCACCGUCUAAAAAACGGUGGUUAGCAAGGGCCGGGCAAGACCGGUGCCAGCCGCCGCGGUAAUACCGGCGGCUCGAGUGGUGGCCGAUAUUAUUGAGUCUAAAGGGUCCGUAGCCGGCUUUGCAAGUCUUUUGGGAAAUCCAGCGGCUUAACCGUUGGUCGUCCGGGAGAUACUACAUUGCUUGGGACUGGGAGAGGUAAGAGGUACUCAGGGGGUAGGAGUGAAAUCCUGUAAUCCUUUGGGGACCACCGGUGGCGAAGGCGUCUUACCAGAACAGGUCCGACGGUGAGGGACGAAAGCUAGGGACACGAACCGGAUUAGAUACCCGGGUAGUCCUAGCCGUAAACGAUGCUCGCUAGGUGUCACAACAAUCGUGAAUUGUUGUGGUGCCGUAGGGAAGCCGUGAAGCGAGCCACUUGGGAAGUACGACCGCAAGGUUGAAACUUAAAGGAAUUGGCGGGGGAGCAC
Molecule: ribosomal RNA, 548 nt
Filed under: uncultured archaeon
Lineage: Archaea
Description: bacterial SSU rRNA
Rfam family: Archaeal small subunit ribosomal RNA
Source: RNAcentral